UACGGGGGGGGGCAAGCGUUGUUCGGAAUUACUGGGCGUAAAGGCUCGUAGGCGGCCAACUAAGUCGGAUGUGAAAUCCCCAGGCUUAACCUGGGAACUGCAUCCGAUACUGGAGGGCUUGAGUAUGGGAGAGGGAAGUGGAAUUUCAGGUGUAGCGGUGAAAUGCGUAGAUAUCUGAAGGAACAUCAGUGGCGAAAGCGACUUCCUGGACCAAUACUGACGCUCAUGUGCGAAAGCGUGGGGGAGCAAACAGG
This 254-nucleotide ribosomal RNA is filed under the name uncultured bacterium. Its description in RNAcentral is "partial 16S ribosomal RNA". It matches the Rfam family "Bacterial small subunit ribosomal RNA", at positions 524 to 776 of the family's 1533-position model. The record is from RNAcentral.